RNAcentral lists this ribosomal RNA (464 nucleotides) under uncultured bacterium. RNAcentral's name for it is "SSU rRNA". It matches the Rfam family "Bacterial small subunit ribosomal RNA", at positions 26 to 523 of the family's 1533-position model. The record is from RNAcentral.
AGAGCGAACGCUGGCGGCAGGCCUAAUACAUGCAAGUCGAACGGAUCCUUCGGGAUUAGUGGCGGACGGGUGAGUAACACGUGGGAACGUGCCCUUUGGUUCAGAACAACUCAGGGAAACUUGAGCUAAUACUGGAUAAGCCCUCAUCCUUAAACAGAUGAGUGGGAAAGAUUUAUCGCCAUUGGAGCGGCCCGCGUCUGAUUAGCUAGUUGGUAGGGUAAAGGCCUACCAAGGCUUCGAUCAGUAGCUGGUCUGAGAGGAUGAUCAGCCACACUGGGACUGAGACACGGCCCAGACUCCUACGGGAGGCAGCAGUAGGGAAUCUUGCGCAAUGGGCGAAAGCCUGACGCAGCCAUGCCGCGUGAAUGAUGAAGGUCUUAGGAUUGUAAAAUUCUUUCAGCGGGGACGAUAAUGACGGUACCGCAGAAGAAGCCCGGCUAACUUCGCGCCAGCAGCCGCGGUAA